UUUUAAAUUAUUUAUUUGUAUUGCUAAAAAAUAGGUUGUCUGAUAAAAUAAUCAAACAGUGACACAUGAUAUGUUACGUGUACCUCAUGAUGACGUACAAAGACCAGUUUUAAACAGUAAAAAUGGAUGAAAUUUUUAACA
This is a non-coding RNA of Gossypium hirsutum (cotton), 141 nucleotides long. NCBI's taxonomy places the organism in Eukaryota, Viridiplantae, Streptophyta, Magnoliopsida, Malvales, Malvaceae. The record is from Rfam.